UAUGUCUUAUUGAUCAUCUUCAAUCUGAAGGCGAAAUAAGUGGAUUGCUUAAGCUUCUGGAAGAAUUGCAAGAUCCUGACUAUUGGGUGGACGGUUGCUGCAGAGUUAUCAUGUAUUGUAUGCGUAACAAGCAUAUAAGUUCUGCCGUCAAUCUGCUCAAGCAACUUAAGGAUAGAAUCAGUGAGUUGGUCAUGCAAGUUCUUUUCGAUGAGGUUUUCUCACUGUUUGCUGAGACACAGCCUAUGGAGCUGCAUAUGGGACUGGAGUUGCUUCAAGCCAUUAAGGAUGAGCUUUGUGUUUGUCCAUCUCGGAAAUCUCUUGAUUUUCUCCUCAGUGCUUGUGGUAGGGCCAAAGAUUUGCAUAAUUCUCUUUCGAUCUGGAAAGAGUAUGAGGCUGCCGGAUAUCCUUACAACGUCACGAGUUAUUUAAGGAUGUAUCAAGCCCUUUUGGCUUCAGGGGACCAAAAAUCGGCGAAGCUUAUGCUUGCUAAAAUUCCAAAAGACGAUCUUCAUGUUUGCUUGAUUAUCCAAGCCUGUCAAAAGACUUACAUUGGGUCCAAUUCUACAAAGGNNNNNNNNNNNNAAAAAAAACAAGAGAAAAAUGAAAGAAAAAACGAAUGAAAAAAAGAACAAGAACAACCAGGAAAAAGAAUCAAUAGUGAAAUGAACCCAAAUCUAAAUGUGGAUAAAAAUAUAAAUAAGACUAACUUGCAACUUUAUCCAACUCAUGGAAAAAUUCAAUGGCAGUAGGGGCCUUCUAGCGGAGCAUGCAAAAGGAGGAAGAAGAAAAGGAAAGGAAAAACUACCCAUUUAUGAGCAAGUAAGCAAAAUGUGC
This 834-nucleotide unclassified non-coding RNA is filed under the name Hevea brasiliensis (rubber tree). The record is from RNAcentral. Lineage: Eukaryota; Viridiplantae; Streptophyta; Magnoliopsida; Malpighiales; Euphorbiaceae.